UACGUAGGGAGCAAGCGUUGUCCGGAAUCAUUGGGCGUAAAGCGCGCGUAGGUGGCUUCGUAAGUCCGUUGUGAAAGUCAAAGGCUCAACCUUUGAAAGCCGAUGGAUACUGUGAAGCUAGAGUACGGAAGAGGCGAGUGGAAUUCCUGGUGUAGCGGUGGAAUGCGCAGAUAUCAGGAGGAACACCAAUAGCGAAGGCAGCUCGCUGGGACGUUACUGACACUAAGGCGCGAAAGCGUGGGGAGCGAACAGG
This 253-nucleotide ribosomal RNA is filed under the name uncultured bacterium. RNAcentral's name for it is "partial 16S ribosomal RNA". It matches the Rfam family "Bacterial small subunit ribosomal RNA", at positions 524 to 776 of the family's 1533-position model. The record is from RNAcentral.